Molecule: non-coding RNA, 95 nt
Organism: Mycena vitilis
Lineage: Eukaryota; Fungi; Basidiomycota; Agaricomycetes; Agaricales; Mycenaceae
Source: the annotation of a GenBank genome assembly
GGCGCUAUGGCCGAGUGGUUAAGGCGACAGAUUCGAAUUAUUGGCACCUUAUCUGUUCCGGUUUCCGGGCGCAGGUUCAAGUCCUGCUGGCGUCG